This 226-nucleotide long non-coding RNA is filed under the name Struthio camelus australis. RNAcentral describes it as "lncRNA (ENSSCUG00000010092.1)". The record is from RNAcentral. Lineage: Eukaryota; Metazoa; Chordata; Aves; Struthioniformes; Struthionidae.
CUCCAAGCUGCUAUAGUAAACACAAAUUUUUGUGUUUUUUUUUUUUUUUAAUUACAAGCUUACGGAACUCAAACGUAUUCUACGUCAGCAUUCUAUUACGCGUGGACAACCUAUUCAAUAGAUGGAAGGCAAGAUUUCAAUUUCCCAUGUGCUGACUGCUGCGAUUAGCAGGGUGUUUCAGCAAGAAAAGUUGGAAGGGGCAGAUCGCCCCAAGAAAAGUGCCUAG